This 450-nucleotide ribosomal RNA is filed under the name uncultured bacterium. RNAcentral describes it as "partial 16S ribosomal RNA". It matches the Rfam family "Bacterial small subunit ribosomal RNA", at positions 354 to 796 of the family's 1533-position model. The record is from RNAcentral.
GUGGGGAAUAUUGCACAAUGGGGGAAACCCUGAUGCAGCCAUGCCGCGUGUGUGAAGAAGGCCUUCGGGUUGUAAAGCACUUUCAGCGAGGAGGAAAGGUCAGUAGCUAAUAUCUGCCAGCUGUGACGUUACUCGCAGAAGAAGCACCGGCUAACUCCGUGCCAGCAGCCGCGGUAAUACGGAGGGUGCAAGCGUUAAUCGGACUUACUGGGCGUACAGCGCACGCAGGCGGUUGGAUAAGUUAGAUGUGGAAGCCCCGGGCUCAACCUGGGAAUUGCAUUUAAAACUGUGCAGCUAGAGUCUUGUAGAGGGGGGUAGAAUUCCAGGUGUAGCGGUGAAAUGCGUAGAGAUCUGGAGGAAUACCGGUGGCGAAGGCGGCCCCCUGGACAAAGACUGACGCUCAGGUGCGAAAGCGUGGGGAGCAAACAGGAUUAGAAACCCGGGUAGUCC